RNAcentral lists this long non-coding RNA (730 nucleotides) under Betta splendens (Siamese fighting fish). RNAcentral's name for it is "lncRNA (ENSBSLG00000016088.1)". Lineage: Eukaryota; Metazoa; Chordata; Actinopteri; Anabantiformes; Osphronemidae. The record is from RNAcentral.
GUCCCUGCAUAUGCAAAAUUCACUUUUUGGACAUUCUGGUACAUAUGACUCCCUGGUUCAUGUUAAGACACUCCUGCUGUGUUAGAAAUACACUCCCUUAUUUUACAUUUUGCGACUUUAUCCAAUCCGUUCUAAGAACGGAGGUUUCAAAUUUCCCAUACUGUCUAUGUCUACAGUCUUUAGACCCCUCACUGAACCAGCUCUAGCCCCGCCCAGACAAACCUGGACACCGAAAUUUACUUGCAACAUUGUGUCACUCACAGUCACUCACUGUGAUACAUGUCUGGCAUGUCAUGACAUGGCGCCAUUAGGAUUCCGGAAGUGCUUCAUUGUUAGUUGUUCCAACCGCCAUUGCAGCCUUUUCAUUUUACCAGCGGAGAAAGAAAGGAGAACUUUAUGGAUUAAUUUUAUUGUAAAUGGCCCCAUGCCCCAUGCACCGUUGCCUAAAUGCUUGUUCAUGUGUGGACACCAUUUCACCUCUGACUGCUUUGAAAACGAGAGUAUAUUCAUUACUGUGCUUGAGGUGGAAGAAGGGUUCUGUUCCUACAAAUGUGAUCCACUUGCUGCUUUCCCAAUCGCUGGCGCAUCCCAGCUACCAAAAGGAAAGGAGGUUGCUUCUCAAACUGAGACACCACUGACUGAAAGGAGAGUGGUGUCAAGGAAACCAGCUGCAUCCUUCAUCUGUACAGCUGCUGCACUGCUUCCGAUCGAAAUGUCUUUUAAAACAUGA